GACGAACGCUGGCGGCGUGCUUAACACAUGCAAGUCGAACGGAAAGGCCCUGCUUGCGUGGUGUUCGCGUGGCGCACGGGUGUGUGACACAUGGGUGUUACGUCCUCUACUUUGUGGUAUGACUUCGCGACUGUGUGUAUUAUCGGGUAGAGGCGCUUCUUCUUGUGGUGGUUGGUAGGUUUUUUUGGUUUGGGAUGGGUUCGCGGGCUAUCAGCUUGUUGGUGGGGUAGUGGCCUACCAAGGCAGCGACGGGUAGCCGGCCUGAGAGGGUGGGCGGCCACAUUGGGACUGAGAUACGGCCCAGACGCCUACGGGAGGCAGCAGUGGGGAAUAUUGCACAAUGGGCGCAAGCCUGAUGCAGCGACGCCGCGUGCGGGAUGACGGCCUUCGGGUUGUAAACUCCUUUCGCUUGGGACGAAGCGUUUGUGACGGUAACCGAGAAAAGAGGAACGGCUAACUUCGUG
RNAcentral lists this ribosomal RNA (464 nucleotides) under uncultured bacterium. Its description in RNAcentral is "partial 16S ribosomal RNA". It matches the Rfam family "Bacterial small subunit ribosomal RNA", at positions 28 to 507 of the family's 1533-position model. The record is from RNAcentral.